RNAcentral lists this ribosomal RNA (432 nucleotides) under uncultured bacterium. Its description in RNAcentral is "bacterial SSU rRNA". It matches the Rfam family "Bacterial small subunit ribosomal RNA", at positions 28 to 452 of the family's 1533-position model. The record is from RNAcentral.
GAUGAACGCUAGCUACAGGCUUAACACAUGCAAGUCGAGGGGCAGCAUAAUGGAUAGCAAUAUCUAUGGUGGCGACCGGCGCACGGGUGCGUAACGCGUAUGCAACCUACCUUUAACAGGGGGAUAACACUGAGAAAUUGGUACUAAUACCCCAUAAUAUCAUAGAAGGCAUCUUUUAUGGUUGAAAAUUCCGAUGGUUAGAGAUGGGCAUGCGUUGUAUUAGCUAGUUGGUGGGGUAACGGCUCACCAAGGCGACGAUACAUAGGGGGACUGAGAGGUUAACCCCCACACUGGUACUGAGACACGGACCAGACUCCUACGGGAGGCAGCAGUGAGGAAUAUUGGUCAAUGGACGCAAGUCUGAACCAGCCAUGCCGCGUGCAGGAUGACGGCUCGUAUGAGUUGUAAACUGCUUUUGUACUAGGGUAAACU